UUUAACCUGCGGAGGGAUCAUUACCGAGUUUACAACUCCCAAACCCCUGUGAACAUACCACUUGUUGCCUCGGCGGAUCAGCCCGCUCCCGGUAAAACGGGACGGCCCGCCAGAGGACCCCUAAACUCUGUUUCUAUAUGUAACUUCUGAGUAAAACCAUAAAUAAAUCAAAACUUUCAACAACGGAUCUCUUGGUUCUGGCAUCGAUGAAGAACGCAGCAAAAUGCGAUAAGUAAUGUGAAUUGCAGAAUUCAGUGAAUCAUCGAAUCUUUGAACGCACAUUGCGCCCGCCAGUAUUCUGGCGGGCAUGCCUGUUCGAGCGUCAUUUCAACCCUCAAGCACAGCUUGGUGUUGGGACUCGCGUUAAUUCGCGUUCCUCAAAUUGAUUGGCGGUCACGUCGAGCUUCCAUAGCGUAGUAGUAAAACCCUCGUUACUGGUAAUCGUCGCGGCCACGCCGUUAAACCCCAACUUCUGAAUGUGACCUCGGAUCAGGUAGAA
This 499-nucleotide ribosomal RNA is filed under the name Fusarium oxysporum. RNAcentral describes it as "eukaryotic LSU rRNA". The stretch from base 172 to 325 matches the Rfam family "5.8S ribosomal RNA". The record is from RNAcentral. Lineage: Eukaryota; Fungi; Ascomycota; Sordariomycetes; Hypocreales; Nectriaceae.